Molecule: ribosomal RNA, 114 nt
Filed under: Acanthosepion pharaonis
Lineage: Eukaryota; Metazoa; Mollusca; Cephalopoda; Sepiida; Sepiidae
Source: RNAcentral
UUACGUUCAAAUCACGCUGAAACACCGGUUCUCGUACGAUCACCGAAGUUGAGCAGCGUAGAGCCAGGUCAGUACUUAGAUGGGGGACCGCUUGGGAACACCUGGUACUGUAAG